This 1372-nucleotide ribosomal RNA is filed under the name uncultured bacterium. Its description in RNAcentral is "bacterial SSU rRNA". It matches the Rfam family "Bacterial small subunit ribosomal RNA", at positions 28 to 1381 of the family's 1533-position model. The record is from RNAcentral.
GAUGAACGCUGGCGGCGUGCCUAAUACAUGCAAGUCGAGCGAACGGACGAGAAGCUUGCUUCUCUGAUGUUAGCGGCGGACGGGUGAGUAACACGUGGAUAACCUACCUAUAAGACUGGGAUAACUUCGGGAAACCGGAGCUAAUACCGGAUAAUAUUUUGAACCGCAUGGUUCAAAAGUGAAAGACGGUCUUGCUGUCACUUAUAGAUGGAUCCGCGCUGCAUUAGCUAGUUGGUAAGGUAACGGCUUACCAAGGCAACGAUGCAUAGCCGACCUGAGAGGGUGAUCGGCCACACUGGAACUGAGACACGGUCCAGACUCCUACGGGAGGCAGCAGUAGGGAAUCUUCCGCAAUGGGCGAAAGCCUGACGGAGCAACGCCGCGUGAGUGAUGAAGGUCUUCGGAUCGUAAAACUCUGUUAUUAGGGAAGAACAUAUGUGUAAGUAACUGUGCACAUCUUGACGGUACCUAAUCAGAAAGCCACGGCUAACUACGUGCCAGCAGCCGCGGUAAUACGUAGGUGGCAAGCGUUAUCCGGAAUUAUUGGGCGUAAAGCGCGCGUAGGCGGUUUUUUAAGUCUGAUGUGAAAGCCCACGGCUCAACCGUGGAGGGUCAUUGGAAACUGGAAAACUUGAGUGCAGAAGAGGAAAGUGGAAUUCCAUGUGUAGCGGUGAAAUGCGCAGAGAUAUGGAGGAACACCAGUGGCGAAGGCGACUUUCUGGUCUGUAACUGACGCUGAUGUGCGAAAGCGUGGGGAUCAAACAGGAUUAGAUACCCUGGUAGUCCACGCCGUAAACGAUGAGUGCUAAGUGUUAGGGGGUUUCCGCCCCUUAGUGCUGCAGCUAACGCAUUAAGCACUCCGCCUGGGGAGUACGACCGCAAGGUUGAAACUCAAAGGAAUUGACGGGGACCCGCACAAGCGGUGGAGCAUGUGGUUUAAUUCGAAGCAACGCGAAGAACCUUACCAAAUCUUGACAUCCUUUGACAACUCUAGAGAUAGAGCUUUCCCCUUCGGGGGACAAAGUGACAGGUGGUGCAUGGUUGUCGUCAGCUCGUGUCGUGAGAUGUUGGGUUAAGUCCCGCAACGAGCGCAACCCUUAAGCUUAGUUGCCAUCAUUAAGUUGGGCACUCUAAGUUGACUGCCGGUGACAAACCGGAGGAAGGUGGGGAUGACGUCAAAUCAUCAUGCCCCUUAUGAUUUGGGCUACACACGUGCUACAAUGGACAAUACAAAGGGCAGCGAAACCGCGAGGUCAAGCAAAUCCCAUAAGGUUGUUCUCAGUUCGGAUUGUAGUCUGCAACUCGACUACAUGAAGCUGGAAUCGCUAGUAAUCGUAGAUCAGCAUGCUACGGUGAAUACGUUCCCGGGUCU